AUUGAACGCUGGCGGAAUGCUUUACACAUGCAAGUCGAACGGCAGCACGGGGGCAACCCUGGUGACGAGUGGCGAACGGGUGAGUAAUACAUCGGAACGUGCCCAGUCGUGGGGGAUAACGUAGCGAAAGUUACGCUAAUACCGCAUACGAUCUACGGAUGAAAGCGGGGGACCGUAAGGCCUCGCGCGAUUGGAGAGGCCGAUGUCAGGUUAGGUAGUUGGUGAGGUAAAGGCUCACCAAGCCGACGAUCUGUAGCUGGUCUGAGAGGACGACGAGCCACACUGGGACUGAGACCCGGCCCAGACUCCUACGGGAGGCAGCAGUGGGGAAUUUUGGACAAUGGGCGCAAGCCCGAUCCAGCCAUUCCGCGUGCAGGACGAAGGCCUUCGGGUUGUAAACUGCUUUUGUACGGAACGAAAAGGCUCUGGUUAAUACCUGGGGCUCAUGACGGUACCGUAAGAAUAAGCACCGGCUAACUACGUGCCAGCAGCCGCCGUAA
This 500-nucleotide ribosomal RNA is filed under the name uncultured bacterium. RNAcentral describes it as "partial 16S ribosomal RNA". It matches the Rfam family "Bacterial small subunit ribosomal RNA", at positions 30 to 523 of the family's 1533-position model. The record is from RNAcentral.